This 330-nucleotide long non-coding RNA is filed under the name Linum usitatissimum (flax). Its description in RNAcentral is "long non-coding RNA (LUSI_LNC004301)". The record is from RNAcentral. Lineage: Eukaryota; Viridiplantae; Streptophyta; Magnoliopsida; Malpighiales; Linaceae.
GAGUUGGAUGCAGCAAUAAUGUGCGAGUAAUCGUCUCUAAGCUGAACUAAUUGAAUCAACCUAGCCCAUGGUUCUGCUAGAUGAUGAACAAACUUACCUGAAUCGGCUACAAGUACCUGAAUACAAUAAAAUAAACUCUCCAAAAUCAUUAUCGUAAACCAGGAAGCUAACAAAAAUUGGGAAAUGAUAGAAAGGAUAGAGUUUCAAGAGGGGAAGAAAGUCAGAGAUGCCUGAGAAAUCAAGGGUGGCAAGAAGCAGCAUGUGCGGCGGCGUCUUGAACGGAAGUACCUGUUCCGGCCAACAGCACGGAGACGGAGUUGCCCUCGCCCA